AUCAGAGUGGUGUAAUGCCACGGAGCUCGGUGUGAGUU
Molecule: non-coding RNA, 38 nt
Filed under: Trypanosoma brucei brucei
Lineage: Eukaryota; Euglenozoa; Kinetoplastea; Trypanosomatida; Trypanosomatidae
Source: RNAcentral